GAGGGUGCGAGCGUUAUCGGAUUACUGGGCGUAAAGCGUGCGUAGGCGGCUUUUUAAGUCGGAUGUGAAAUCCCUGAGCUUAACUUAGGAAUUGCAUCCAAUACUGAAAAGCUAAAUAAUGGAAAAGAGAUGUAAAAUUCCACGUGUAUCGGUGAGAUGUGUGUAGAGAUCUGGAGGAAUACCGAUGGCGAAGGCAGCCAUCUGGCCUAAUACUGACGCUGAGGUACGAAAGCAUGGGGAGCAAACAGGAUUAGAUACCCUGGUAGUCCAUGCCGUAAACGAUGUCUACUAGCCGUUGGGGCCUUUGAGGCUUUAGUGGCGCAGCUAACGCGAUAAGUAGACCGCCUGGGGAGUACGGUCGCAAGACUAAAACUCAAAUGAAUUGACGGGGGCCCGCACAAGCGGUGGAGCAUGUGGUUUAAUUCGAUGCAACGCGAAGAACCUUACCUGGCCUUGACAUACUAAGAACUUUCCAGAGAUGGAUUGGUGCCUUCGGGAACUUAGAUACAGGUGCUGCAUGGCUGUCGUCAGCUCGUGUCGUGAGAUG
RNAcentral lists this ribosomal RNA (547 nucleotides) under uncultured bacterium. RNAcentral's name for it is "bacterial SSU rRNA". It matches the Rfam family "Bacterial small subunit ribosomal RNA", at positions 528 to 1074 of the family's 1533-position model. The record is from RNAcentral.